RNAcentral lists this transfer RNA (76 nucleotides) under Micavibrio aeruginosavorus. RNAcentral's name for it is "tRNA-Ala". It matches the Rfam family "tRNA". From Rfam's summary of the family: Transfer RNA (tRNA) molecules are approximately 80 nucleotides in length. The record is from RNAcentral. RNAcentral also lists the same sequence under 2 other names. Lineage: Bacteria; Pseudomonadati; Bdellovibrionota; Bdellovibrionia; Bdellovibrionales; Pseudobdellovibrionaceae.
GGGCCUUUAGCUCAGCUGGGAGAGCGCUUGCAUGGCAUGCAAGAGGUCAGCGGUUCGAUCCCGCUAAGGUCCACCA